Molecule: ribosomal RNA, 480 nt
Filed under: uncultured Coriobacteriales bacterium
Lineage: Bacteria; Bacillati; Actinomycetota; Coriobacteriia; Coriobacteriales
Description: bacterial SSU rRNA
Rfam family: Bacterial small subunit ribosomal RNA
Source: RNAcentral
GGACGAACGCUGGCGGCGUGCUUAACACAUGCAAGUCGAACGGUAAGGCCCUUCGGGGUACACGAGUGGCGAACGGGUGAGUAACGCGUGAGUAACCUGCCCUUGACUCUGGGAUAACAGAUGGAAACGUCUGCUAAUACCGGAUACUCAGCCUUGUGGGCAUCCGCAGGGUUGGAAAGCUCCGGCGGUCAAGGAUGGACUCGCGUCCUAUCAGCUAGUUGGUGGGGUAACGGCCUACCAAGGCGACGACGGGUAGCCGGCCUGAGAGGGCGACCGGCCACAUUGGGACUGAGAUACGGCCCAGACUCCUACGGGAGGCAGCAGUGGGGAAUAUUGCACAAUGGGCGAAAGCCUGAUGCAGCAACGCCGCGUGCGGGAUGACGGCCUUCGGGUUGUAAACCGCUUUCAGCAGGGACGAAGCGCAAGUGACGGUACCUGCAGAAGAAGCACCGGCUAACUACGUGCCAGCAGCCGCGGUAA